AUAUGUUUUUUUGUUAUUUUCUGUAUGCACCAAAUACCAAGGCAAAUUCCACAUAAGUGUAAUUUACUGUGGCAAUAAACCCUGAUCCUGAUUCUGAUCAAAAAUGGAUGCCACCUCGGAGAGGUCCUCCCAGUAAUUGUGAGAGUGCGGCUGGAUCAGGGUUCAGGAUGGUAACCAUUAACAUUUUGUGGUGGCUGAAGGGUA
This is a long non-coding RNA of Etheostoma cragini (Arkansas darter), 204 nucleotides long. RefSeq lists it as uncharacterized. The record is from RefSeq and is a predicted model, not a curated record. The transcript has 3 exons. NCBI's taxonomy places the organism in Eukaryota, Metazoa, Chordata, Actinopteri, Perciformes, Percidae.